This 208-nucleotide long non-coding RNA is filed under the name Malus domestica (apple). RNAcentral describes it as "long non-coding RNA (MDOM_LNC009213)". Lineage: Eukaryota; Viridiplantae; Streptophyta; Magnoliopsida; Rosales; Rosaceae. The record is from RNAcentral.
UCUUACACACACAUCACUUGCAUGACUUUAAGUCACAUACCACUUGCAUGAAUUUAUGUCACAAAUUCCACUUGCAAGGCUUUAUGAAAUUGUUGAAAAGAUUUCCAAAUUUUUGUGGACUUAUCUCCACUCCCUUUCCCUCUCUAAAAACCAGACCUCCCUCAAUGGGAGUACUUUUGGGUCUUUUAUGCAAUUACAUAAAGUUUUG